This 253-nucleotide ribosomal RNA is filed under the name uncultured bacterium. Its description in RNAcentral is "partial 16S ribosomal RNA". It matches the Rfam family "Bacterial small subunit ribosomal RNA", at positions 524 to 776 of the family's 1533-position model. The record is from RNAcentral.
UACGUAGGUGGCAAGCGUUGUCCGGAAUUAUUGGGCGUAAAGCGCGCGCAGGUGGUUUCUUAAGUCUGAUGUGAAAGCCCACGGCUCAACCGUGGAGGGUCAUUGGAAACUGGGGAACUUGAGUGCAGAAGAGGAAAGUGGAAUUCCAAGUGUAGCGGUGAAAUGCGUAGAGAUUUGGAGGAACACCAGUGGCGAAGGCGGUCUGCUGGGCAGUUGCUGACACUGAGGCGCGACAGCGUGGGGAGCAAACAGG